AAUGAACGCUGGCGGCAGGCCUAACACAUGCAAGUCGAACGAGGCAGCAAUGCCUAGUGGCGGACGGGUGAGUAACGCGUGGGAACGUGCCCCUUGGUACGGAAUAGCCCUGGGAAACUGGGAGUAAUACCGUAUGUGGUCGAGAGACGAAAGAUUUAUCGCCAAGGGAUCGGCCCGCGUUGGAUUAGGUAGUUGGUGGGGUAAUGGCCUACCAAGCCGACGAUCCAUAGCUGGUUUGAGAGGAUGAUCAGCCACACUGGACUGAGACACGGCCCAGACUCCUACGGAAGGCAGCAGUGGGUAAUCUUAGACAAUGGGGGAAACCCUGAUCUAGCCAUGCCGCGUGAUCGAUGAAGGCCUUAGGGUUGUAAAGAUCUUUCAGGUGGGAAGAUAAUGACGGUACCACCAGAAGAAGCCCCGGCUAACUCCGUGCCAGCAGCCGCAGUAA
RNAcentral lists this ribosomal RNA (448 nucleotides) under uncultured bacterium. RNAcentral describes it as "partial 16S ribosomal RNA". It matches the Rfam family "Bacterial small subunit ribosomal RNA", at positions 29 to 523 of the family's 1533-position model. The record is from RNAcentral.